UACACUCCUACGGGAGGCAGCAGUGGGGAAUAUUGCACAAUGGGCGCAAGCCUGAUGCAGCCAUGCCGCGUGUAUGAAGAAGGCCUUCGGGUUGUAAAGUACUUUCAGCGGGGAGGAAGGCAAUACGGUUAAUAACCGUGUUGAUUGACGUUACCCGCAGAAGAAGCACCGGCUAACUCCGUGCCAGCAGCCGCGGUAAUACGGAGGGUGCAAGCGUUAAUCGGAAUUACUGGGCGUAAAGCGCACGCAGGCGGUCUGUCAAGUCGGAUGUGAAAUCCCCGGGCUCAACCUGGGAACUGCAUUCGAAACUGGCAGGCUUGAGUCUUGUAGAGGGGGGUAGAAUUCCAGGUGUAGCGGUGAAAUGCGUAGAGAUCUGGAGGAAUACCGGUGGCGAAGGCGGCCCCCUGGACAAAGACUGACGCUCAGGUGCGAAAGCGUGGGGAGCAAACAGGAUUAGAAACCCGUGUAGUCCCAUGAU
RNAcentral lists this ribosomal RNA (478 nucleotides) under uncultured organism. RNAcentral describes it as "partial 16S ribosomal RNA". It matches the Rfam family "Bacterial small subunit ribosomal RNA", at positions 332 to 801 of the family's 1533-position model. The record is from RNAcentral.